UGGGGAAUAUUGGACAAUGGGCGAAAGCCUGAUCCAGCCAUGCCGCGUGAGUGACGAAGGCCUUAGGGUUGUAAAACUCUUUCGUCGGGGACGAUAAUGACGGUACCCGAAGAAGAAGCUCCGGCUAACUUCGUGCCAGCAGCCGCGGUAAUACGAAGGGAGCUAGCGUUGUUCUGAAUCACUGGGCGUAAAGCGCACGUAGGCGGAUAGUUAAGUCAGGGGUGAAAUCCUGGGGCUCAACCCCAGAACUGCCUUUGAUACUGGCUGUCUCGAGGUCGAGAGAGGUUGGUGGAAUUCCUAGUGUAGAGGUGAAAUUCGUAGAUAUUAGGAAGAACACCAGUGGCGAAGGCGGCCAACUGGCUCGAUACUGACGCUGAGGUGCGAAAGCGUGGGGAGCAAACAGGAUUAGAUACCCUCGUAGUCCCUGAGCGGGCUGGCAAGGCGCAU
RNAcentral lists this ribosomal RNA (447 nucleotides) under uncultured bacterium. RNAcentral describes it as "bacterial SSU rRNA". It matches the Rfam family "Bacterial small subunit ribosomal RNA", at positions 355 to 825 of the family's 1533-position model. The record is from RNAcentral.